CCACAGUAAAAUUGGUUUUGGAAAACUCUACAACGGUCCGUGUCACCCAUCCCAAUGGAACUGUUACUGUCACCAUAACUUCCACAGUGGCAGUUCCCAGUCUACCUGACAAUAUUCCAAUGGUUCGGUGUGUGGUAUCAUCUGGCAGUGCCAUCAAGGAGGGCUCCAUAAAGAUUCCAACUUUCUUAGUUGGUCGUGGUAAAUCUCUUUUACCAGUCAAUGAUGAUGGUUGGAUGAGGGAUCAUGGGACAGUGGUUGGUGCUUUGAUGGGUUCAGUGGUUCUCAUUGCUUUAAUUUGCAGCAUAACUUGGUGUCUGCAUAAGAGGUAUCAAACUAGCAGUUCCAGUGGGGCGGCUGAGGAGGGAAGGAGUGAGGAGGAUUCACCAGUCAGGAUCCAAUAUCUCCAACAUCCUUCAGAAUAAUCACCUUUAUUUUGAAGUCCUAUUUUGUACAAUGGAGCUGCUAACAUAGCCUGUCAUGAACACACCAUCAAAAGAAGUGGAU
Molecule: long non-coding RNA, 504 nt
Organism: Esox lucius (northern pike)
Lineage: Eukaryota; Metazoa; Chordata; Actinopteri; Esociformes; Esocidae
Source: Ensembl